This 77-nucleotide transfer RNA is filed under the name Citrobacter freundii. RNAcentral's name for it is "tRNA-Met". It matches the Rfam family "tRNA". Rfam says of the family: Transfer RNA (tRNA) molecules are approximately 80 nucleotides in length. RNAcentral also lists the same sequence under 24 other names. Lineage: Bacteria; Pseudomonadati; Pseudomonadota; Gammaproteobacteria; Enterobacterales; Enterobacteriaceae. The record is from RNAcentral.
GGCGAAGUAGCUCAGUUGGCUAGAGCAUUCGGUUCAUACCCGGAGUGUCAAGAGUUCAAGUCUCUUCUUCGCUACCA